RNAcentral lists this ribosomal RNA (301 nucleotides) under uncultured bacterium. RNAcentral's name for it is "partial 16S ribosomal RNA". It matches the Rfam family "Bacterial small subunit ribosomal RNA", at positions 509 to 809 of the family's 1533-position model. The record is from RNAcentral.
CAGUAGCCGCGGGAAUACGGAGGGUGCAAGCGUUAAUCGGAAUUACUGGGCGUAAAGCGCACGCAGGCGGUCUGACAAGUCAGAUGUGAAAUCCCCGGGCUUAACCUGGGAGCUGCAUUUGAAACUGUCAGGCUGGAGUCUUGUAGAGGGGGGUGGAAUUCCAGGUGUAGCGGUGAAAUGCGUAGAGAUCUGGAGGAAUACCGGUGGCGAAGGCGGCCCCCUGGACAAAGACUGACGCUCAGGUGCGAAAGCGUGGGGAGCAAACAGGAUUAGAUACCCGCGUAGUCCCUGUCUCUUAUAA